UGCAAGUCGAGCGGCAGCACGGGGAGCUUGCUCCCUGGUGGCGAGCGGCGGACGGGUGAGUAAUGCAUAGGAAUCUGCCCGGUAGUGGGGGAUAACCUGGGGAAACCCAGGCUAAUACCGCAUACGUCCUACGGGAGAAAGCAGGGGAUCUUCGGACCUUGCGCUAUCGGAUGAGCCUAUGUCGGAUUAGCUGGUUGGUGAGGUAAUGGCUCACCAAGGCGACGAUCCGUAGCUGGUCUGAGAGGAUGAUCAGCCACACUGGGACUGAGACACGGCCCAGACUCCUACGGGAGGCAGCAGUGGGGAAUAUUGGACAAUGGGCGCAAGCCUGAUCCAGCCAUGCCGCGUGUGUGAAGAAGGCCCUCGGGUUGUAAAGCACUUUCAGCGAGGAAGAAGGCUUGGCGGUCAAUACCCGUCAAGAAGGACAUCACUCGCAGAAGAAGCACCGGCUAACUCCGUGCCAGCAGCCGCGGUAAUACGGAGGGUGCGAGCGUUAAUCGGAAUUACUGGGCGUAAAGCGCGCGUAGGUGGUUUGGCACGCCGGUUGUGAAAGCCCCGGGCUCAACCUGGGAACGGCAUCCGGAACGGCCAGACUAGAGUGCAGGAGAGGAAGGUAGAAUUCCCGGUGUAGCGGUGAAAUGCGUAGAGAUCGGGAGGAAUACCAGUGGCGAAGGCGGCCUUCUGGCCUGACACUGACACUGAGGUGCGAAAGCGUGGGUAGCAAACAGGAUUAGAUACCCUGGUAGUCCACGCCGUAAACGAUGUCGACUAGCCGUUGGGACCUUUAAGGACUUAGUGGCGCAGUUAACGCGAU
Molecule: ribosomal RNA, 814 nt
Filed under: Salinicola sp. CPA-71
Lineage: Bacteria; Pseudomonadati; Pseudomonadota; Gammaproteobacteria; Oceanospirillales; Halomonadaceae
Description: bacterial SSU rRNA
Rfam family: Bacterial small subunit ribosomal RNA
Source: RNAcentral